CCUACGGGAGGCAGCAGUGAGGAAUAUUGGUCAAUGGGCGCGAGCCUGAACCAGCCAAGUCGCGUGAGGGAGGACGGCCCUACGGGUUGUAAACCUCUUUUGCCGGGGAGCAACGGGCGUCACGUGUGGCGCCACUGAGAGUACCCGGAGAAAAAGCAUCGGCUAACCCCGUGCCAGCAGCCGCGGUAAUACGGAGGAUGCGAGCGUUAUCCGGAUUUAUGGGGUUUAAAGGGUGCGUAGGCGGAUCGUUAAGUCAGGGGUCAAAUUGAAGGGCACAACCCCUACCGGCCAUUGAAACUGGCGCUCUUGGGUGGAAGAGAAGUAGGCGGAAUGGGGGGUGUAGCGGUGAAAUGCAUAGAUAUCACGCAGAACCCCGAUUGCGAAGGCAGCAUGCCGGCUUCCGACUGACGCUGAAGCACGAAAGCGUGGGGAUCGAACAGGAUUAGAUACCCCUUAGUC
RNAcentral lists this ribosomal RNA (459 nucleotides) under uncultured bacterium. Its description in RNAcentral is "partial 16S ribosomal RNA". It matches the Rfam family "Bacterial small subunit ribosomal RNA", at positions 338 to 795 of the family's 1533-position model. The record is from RNAcentral.